Tachysurus vachellii is the source of this 1119-nucleotide long non-coding RNA. RefSeq lists it as uncharacterized. Lineage: Eukaryota; Metazoa; Chordata; Actinopteri; Siluriformes; Bagridae. The record is from RefSeq and is a predicted model, not a curated record. The transcript has 3 exons.
AAAUAAAAAAAAGGAAAAAUGGGGGAAAAUGCUGGCUGUGCCACCACAGAGAAUACAUUAUUAAUUAAAGUGUCUCAAAAACAAAAACAAACGCUGGAACGAAACCCACAGACUAACCAGAGGUAAACAGCCGAAAGACGCUUCAGAGUCUGUAGUGACGCAGCUGAGGUCGCCCUCUUUCGGACAUUCAGACCUGCUCCAUGACACAAGGGCUGAAGAGCAGUGAGAGGAGAUGUGUCUCUGCACAGAUUUCAGGAGAGGAUUUGCCUUCAUAACGACUUCAUUAAAUAUUAAAUACACCUUAAAUGUAGUCAUACUUACUGACCCUUUUAUUAGGUGAAUGUGGUGCACAAUUACUGGGAAAGUAGACCGUAGACCCACCACCACCGAGCAGAAACAUUGACAGUUGUAUCAUAGUCUAGUGGUCCUGGUUAAAAUUCUGUUACAGUAGUGAUUCUAUGGUCUAUGGUGGCUCUUUUCACAGUAAAACCCAGUAUUUAUAUACCUAAAACGUACACCACGUUCACCUGACAAUGGGGUCAAUAAGUAUGACUACAUUCAUCAAAUACACCUUAAAUGUAGUCAUACUUACUGACCCUUUUAUUAGGUGAAUGUGGUGUACUUGGUAGGUAUACAAAUACUGGGUCUUACUGGGACCAAAUACUUGGUAGUAUUUGUAUACCUACCAAGCCACCAUAGACCCACCACUACUGUGUUGUUUUCAACCUGCCUAAGAUCUCACAUACCACUCCUCUGCUGUGAUACCUCCACUGGCAGAUUCAAAACACUGAUGCUUGCCUACAAAGCCAAAAAUGGACCAGCUACCUCCUCCCUCAAAGCCCUUAUCACUCCUCACACUGCACCUUGCACCCUCAGAGCUACCAGCACUGCUCGACUGGUUCCACCAUCUCUCAGGGUAAGAUGUAAGUAUACUACAAGACUCUUUUCUGUUCUGGCACCAAGGUGGUGGAAUGAACUUCCCCUAGUGGUCCAGACAGCUGAGUCACUGGCUGAGUUCAAACGACGGUUGAAGACCUACUUAUUCAUGAAAAACCUCAACUAGCACUUCCUUCCCUAUUUGUUGUAUGUAUGUAUAUAAAAAAAAAAUAAAAACUUUGA